AUACGGAUGGUGCGAGCGUUGUUCGGAAUUACUGGGCGUAAGGGGCGCGUAGGCGGCGAUGUAAGUCAAAUGUGAAAGUCCUCGGCUUAACCGGGGAAGUGCAUCUGAAACUGCAUUGCUUGAGUAUGGGAGAGGAAAGUGGAAUUCCCGGUGUAGAGGUGAAAUUCGUAGAGAUCGGGAGGAAUACCGGUGGCGAAGGCGACUUUCUGGACCAAUACUGACGCUGAGGCGCGAAAGCGUGGGGAGCAAACAGGAUUAGAUACCCUAGUAGUCC
RNAcentral lists this ribosomal RNA (274 nucleotides) under uncultured bacterium. RNAcentral describes it as "partial 16S ribosomal RNA". It matches the Rfam family "Bacterial small subunit ribosomal RNA", at positions 523 to 796 of the family's 1533-position model. The record is from RNAcentral.